CACGAUCUUACAUGAUAGAUGAUUAUGCAGAUGGGAUCAAAUUGAUUAAAUUGGAAAAAUUUUAAAAUACAUGAUCAGUAGUUAUGGUGACUUACAUGUGAAUUCCAUUAUAAUUAACGACUAGUAUUUAUCGGUUACAUACACAAUAAUUGUACAGAAUAAAUUCAGUAGGUCUCACGAAAAUUUCAUCAUAAAUUUUAUUAUAAUCAAUUAUCAUAAUAUAGUUACAUUGAAUAAAUUCUUCUCAAAUUAGGUUUUUUAUUAUUAUUUUUUUCUGCUGUAAGUGGCAAUGCUAAACCACUUCACCUGAUUGCCUCUUGGGUUUGGUCCCCCAUUUUAACCCACCACUUUAAUUAAAAUUUUGGGGUUUGCCAUUGUUUCUUUAAUUACAUCCUAUAGAAAUUUUAUCAACAAUCAUCCUUAGAUAAUAAAAAUAAUUUUUAUUUUAUGAAUAAAAAAAGUAAACUACAAAUAAAAUAUUUAAAAACAAAAAUAGUCAUAAAAAAACUCCUAAAAAUAUUAAUAUGUAGGCAGUAAGAGAAAAAAUUAAUUUAAAG
RNAcentral lists this unclassified non-coding RNA (557 nucleotides) under Hevea brasiliensis (rubber tree). The record is from RNAcentral. Lineage: Eukaryota; Viridiplantae; Streptophyta; Magnoliopsida; Malpighiales; Euphorbiaceae.